RNAcentral lists this ribosomal RNA (447 nucleotides) under uncultured bacterium. RNAcentral's name for it is "bacterial SSU rRNA". It matches the Rfam family "Bacterial small subunit ribosomal RNA", at positions 28 to 507 of the family's 1533-position model. The record is from RNAcentral.
GACGAACGCUGGCGGUGUGCUUAAUACAUGCAAGUCGAACGAUAAGGUCCCUUCGGGGAUACAUAAGUGGCGAACGGGUGAGUAACACGUAGGUAUCUGCCUUAAGGAAGGGGAUAACACUGGGAAACCGGUGCUAAUACCCUAUAUGUCUUUCGAGAUGAAAGCUCCGGCGCCUUAAGAUGAGCCUGCGGCUGAUUAGCUAGUUGGUGGGGUAAAUACCUACCAAGGCUACGAUCAGUAGCUGGUCUGAGAGGAUGAUCAGCCACAAUGGAACUGAGACACGGUCCAUACUCCUACGGGAGGCAGCAGUAGGGAAUUUUGCGCAAUGGACGAAAGUCUGACGCAGCAACACCGCGUGAGGGAUGACGCUUUUCGGAGUGUAAACCUCUGUCAGUGGGGACGAAAAAAAUGACGGUACCCACAAAGGAAGCACCGGCUAACUACGUG